This 508-nucleotide ribosomal RNA is filed under the name uncultured bacterium. RNAcentral describes it as "partial 16S ribosomal RNA". It matches the Rfam family "Bacterial small subunit ribosomal RNA", at positions 28 to 523 of the family's 1533-position model. The record is from RNAcentral.
GACGAACGCUGGCGGCGUGCCUAAUACAUGCAAGUCGAGCGGACUUUAUCCUUCGGGGUAAGGUUAGCGGCGGACGGGUGAGUAACACGUAGGCAACCUGCCUGUAAGACCGGGCUAACAUUCGGAAACGGAUGCUAAUACCGGAUAUGCAACUUGGCUGCAUGGCUGAGUUGGGAAAGACGGCGCAAGCUGUCACUUACAGAUGGGCCUGCGGUGCAUUAGCUAGUUGGUGAGGGAACGGCUCACCAAGGCGACGAUGCAUAGCCGACCUGGGAGGGUGAUCGGCCACACUGGGACUGAGACACGGCCCAGACUCCUACGGGAGGCAGCAGUAGGGAAUCUUCCGCAAUGGACGAAAGUCUGACGGAGCAACGCCGCGUGAGUGAUGAAGGUUUUCGGAUCGUAAAGCUCUGUUGCCAGGGAAGAACAGCCAGGAGAGUAACUGCUCUUGGAAUGACGGUACCUGAGAAGAAAGCCCCGGCUAACUACGUGCCAGCAGCCGCCGUAA